AGAGUUUGAUCAUGGCUCAGGAUAAACGCUGGCGGCGUGCCUAACACAUGCAAGUCGAACGCUCCAAGGGAGACCUUGGAGAGUGGCGGACGGGUGAGUAAGACGUGGGUCAUCUGCCUUUGGGUGAGGAAUACCGGCGAGAAAUCGCCGACAAAACCGCAUGAGCUCGGUGAAAGCCGAGGAAAGUCGUGAGACGCCCG
Molecule: ribosomal RNA, 200 nt
Filed under: uncultured bacterium
Lineage: Bacteria
Description: partial 16S ribosomal RNA
Rfam family: Bacterial small subunit ribosomal RNA
Source: RNAcentral